GAAAGGUCAACAUAAAUUCAAAGCUAUUUUUCAUUGAAGCUCUGAUGGACUCAGACUCUAAAGGAAAUAAGUUCGGAUGGACACGUCAACAGUCUGGGUGACUCUGACCAGUUUUGUGUUCUUCGAAUGGAAGGUCGUUUUCUGAAGGUAAAUCGACAUAAUCAGAAUAAGCAGCGGAAAAAAAAUUCGAUUUACUUUCCUUGGAUCAUUACGAAUUAAGACUUGAACCAGUG
RNAcentral lists this long non-coding RNA (233 nucleotides) under Medicago truncatula (barrel medic). RNAcentral's name for it is "long non-coding RNA (MTRU_LNC002702)". The record is from RNAcentral. Lineage: Eukaryota; Viridiplantae; Streptophyta; Magnoliopsida; Fabales; Fabaceae.